ACGUCGUCGGCGGAGAGAGCCCCGAGCCGUGGCUCGAGAUGUCGCCAGAGUCCUGAUCCGUGGCCCAGAUCACCGGGUUCCGGUAGCGCCGUCAGAGUAUGCAGUAAAUGCGUUUAGGUUGGCCGCUUGGUGCUUGGGCAGAUAAGUCGGGUUAGGUAUUCUUCCCAGGCGGCGGGACGGCGGCGAAAUCUACUGCGACGACGGUGGCUGCGCUAUCCAGGAAGCUCGGAAGUUCACCGGCGGGCAUGGAGUUCCUGAUGCAACCUAUAAACAGAACACUGCUAGAGGAGGUGAACGAAAAUAACAGCAAUAUGGAGCCGAUGCGGUUCCCGGUGAGCGCGCCGACAGAGGUUGAGCUGCCAGCCCAGGCAGCUUCAAGUGCGGACGGCCAGAACUGCCCUGAAGACGCCGCUGCAGAGGCAAGAAGUGCAAGCAAGGCUCAGUGUUCAGAGCAAUUGAUAGAACAAUUGGACCCAAAAACCCCAGGCUGGACACAAAGAGUGUGUGUGGGUGCUGCUGCUCCAGGCAGGGCUCCUCGUGCAGACAGGGUGACAGCGUUCGAAAAGACCGUUCGACAAUUUGCAGAGGAUCUAGGGGACAUUGUCAUAGUUCCAAAAGAUAGGAACAAGUUUGGACAGUCUUGGUGAAGCCUACGACUUUUAAAAUUUAUAUUCGUGAGAGAAAGGAUUUGGCGUUAGAUAUGGAAAGAGCGGGCUGAAUGUGAACCAGACGAAGUGCAUGCAAGAGAUAGUGUGUGGAUGUGCGGGGAAGCCAAUCGUUGAAAAUACACGGUCUUGUCGCUGUCAAUGUCCGGCACUCAUAAGACUGUUGUGCUCCAAGGAUAAUGGGUGGUACAUAGCUGAGCAUCGGGAUAUGCACAACCAUGCAUUGUCGCACACGUAUGGACAGACACUGUGUUGGUCAUCACACAAACAUAUUGAUUAGUACAGUAGGAACCUUGUGAAGCAGCUAAGUCAAAAUAAUGUCAAUCUUGCCAAGGUGUACAGCAUUAUCAGUAGCUUAUUUAGGAAGAUGGAGAAUGUACCUUUCACGAAGAGAGCUUUGCGGGAAUCUGUGCAGAAAGAUAAGCCGUGGUCAGUCUGAGGAUGAUGUGAGGAAAACAAUGGAAGUAUUUCAGAGCUGUGUGCAAAGGACCUGCAGUUCACAUAUCGAGUUCAAGCUAACAAUGAGGGCAGAAUCAGCACUCUGAUGUGGGCUACUGGCAACAGCCGACCGCAAUACAGUUUCUUUGGUGAUGUUGUUACAUUUGAUACAACCUACCGGGCGAACCUCUAUGACAUGCCUUUUGGUUUAUUUGAGGGGGUGAACAAUCACUUUCAGAGCAUUAUCCUUGCGGGAGUGUUGGUUCAAAGUGAGACAGUUGAAACAUUUGAGUUAUUAGGAUAAUGGGUGGCAAUGCACCACAAACAAUCCUGACAAGUAAUCAAAAAGUGAAUUGAUAUUAGCUCAAUUUCGGUGCAGUGGAAUGAUGUAAAUCCUGAAAAUCUAAUACACAUCAACUUCAAACUUGUGCUGAUCAAAACAAGGCUAUGGAGGUUGCCAUAAAGAAUGUGAUGCCUGGCAAGCUCACCGACGGUGCAAAUGGCAUGUGCGAAAGAAGGCAAAAGAGUGACUUGGUCUGUUGUACUCAAAAAAUAGUGAUUUCUGUCCAGAGUACCACAAGGUUGUUAAUCACAUGUUAACCAUAGAUGAGUUUGAGGAAGGCUGGAAGUACCUCAUAGAGAAAUACAACCUGAAGAGCCACGAUUAUAUGACAAAUUUGUACGAGAUAAGGCCCAAGUGUGUGAAGCCAUACUUCAAGGGAGUCUUCUGUGCAAAGAUGAGUAGUACGCAACGGAGUGAAAGUGCUAACCACAUGCUGAAGAACUAUGUGCCUCUUGGAAGCCCAAUGCAUAUCUUUGUCAGGAAGUAUAUGAGCUUAAUAUUUGACUGGGAAGCAGAAGAGAAUUAUGAGGAGAAGCGGACAACAAUAGGGAGGCCACUAAUGCGAGCAAAUUUGGCUACCGAGAGGCAUGCUGGGAAAAUAUAAACUGGGGCUAUGUUCGAGCAAUUCGGACAUAUAUUGUAUGAGUGUGGUGCAUAUCAGGUGGAGGAGAUCGAUAAAGGUGUUGGAGGGUGGCGAGUAUGUACAAAUGGGGGUUGCGUCCAACCACAUGGAGUAGCUCACAACCAUUCAAAGGUGUGAGAGUCCUAAUGGCAGAUUCAGAAGGGUCUGGGACUGCAUCUUCCUUGACCGGGACUAAAGAAUGCUCAGAGGCGUGCUAUGGUCUGAAUCAGGAAAAUUGCAAGAGGCUGUGUUGGAUCCCCAACUAUAAAGAGGAUGGACGAGGAGAAGUGCUGGAGAAGAUUGGGACCUGCCAACCGUGGGGCCAUAAAUGAGCACAACGGCUCAGUUGGAACAUAAUGUACUACGAUGGAACGGUCCAAUCCGUCAUCCUCCGUCUGAUCCGUCACGUUGCUAACUCACGAAGUGAACUGAGCAGUGGGCCAGGUCCUAUUUCGCUGAAAAGCAGGCAGGAGCAUAUACCUGAUACUAUACAGACUGCAGCACACAUCACAAGAUAUAUAAAUGGUCCUGAUUCCGAGACCCUGUGAGCUUGGGCUCACAUAAGCAUUUUCGCGUUGCAUGCUACUUUUGUUUGGAAACUUGAGUAGAGAAAGCUUAGUAGAGGGUCGAUGUUGCAUCGGUAAAAUUAUAAUCAGGAGCAUGUUGAUUAAAUAUUUCAACCCUGGUGGAUUAACCAGUUUGUGAAUUGUAGAUUAUUUUGUUGCAGCAAAACAUGUGCAUAAUACUAAAUCUGUAUGUAUAUAUAUAUAUAUUUGAACAUCAUAACUUCUAAUAGUAGACAUUGUAAUUUGUAAGGCUGAUAUUUACACAUUUUAA
This is a long non-coding RNA of Triticum aestivum (bread wheat), 2905 nucleotides long. RefSeq lists it as uncharacterized. Lineage: Eukaryota; Viridiplantae; Streptophyta; Magnoliopsida; Poales; Poaceae. The record is from RefSeq and is a predicted model, not a curated record. The transcript has 7 exons.